AUACGGAGGGUGCAAGUGUUAUCCGGAAUCAUUGGGUUUAAAGGGUCCGUAGGCGGACUAUUAAGUCAGAGGUGAAAUCCCACAGCUCAACUGUGGAACUGCCUUUGAUACUGGUAGUCUUGAGUUAUAUGGAAGUAGAUAGAAUGUGUAGUGUAGCGGUGAAAUGCAUAGAUAUUACACAGAAUACCGAUUGCGAAGGCAGUCUACUACGUAUAUACUGACGCUAAGGGACGAAAGCGUGGGGAGCGAACAGGAUUAGAAACCCCAGUAGUCC
This 274-nucleotide ribosomal RNA is filed under the name uncultured bacterium. RNAcentral describes it as "partial 16S ribosomal RNA". It matches the Rfam family "Bacterial small subunit ribosomal RNA", at positions 523 to 796 of the family's 1533-position model. The record is from RNAcentral.